This 611-nucleotide long non-coding RNA is filed under the name Rattus norvegicus (Norway rat). RNAcentral's name for it is "long non-coding RNA NONRATT031633". The record is from RNAcentral. Lineage: Eukaryota; Metazoa; Chordata; Mammalia; Rodentia; Muridae.
GUCCACCAAUUUCCCAAGUCUCAAGCGGCAUGGAAGGGCAUCACCCCCCAUAUCCAAAAACUGCUUGGUCUGGGAGUCCUCAGGCCAUGACAAUCGGCAUGGAACACCCUUUUAUUGCCUGUGAAGAAGCCAAAUUCCAAUGACUACCACCCCAUCCAAGACCUAUGUAUGGGAAGAUUACUGUAGGGUAAUGAACAUACACCCCACCCCCACCAUAGUGCCUAAUCCUUACUCCUUAUUGAGCUAGUUGCCACCAGUUCAGAAAUGGUAUUUCAUUCUAGAGCUACAAGAUGCCUUCUUCAGCCUAAUCUUGGCUCCCAAAAUCCAGGAAUAUUUUGCCUUUGAAUAGUAUGAUACCCAAAGAGGCAUUAAUGGACGUCUGACCUGGAUCCACUAUUUUUGAUGAACCUUUGCAUGACGACUUGGACACUGGACUGCCCCGGUAACCCUCAGAGCUGCUCAGUCCCUGAACUAGUGCUACCACAAUCGAAUCUUUGCCUGGGCUAUGAGAUAUGGAAGUAUAAAUGAUGGGAAGGACCUAUGCUGUAGUGUGGUACUCCAAUACAUACCUUGCAGCAUGGAAUGAGCAUGGUGCCAUUAGUGACCUUCUA